RNAcentral lists this RNase P RNA (306 nucleotides) under Flavobacteriaceae bacterium. RNAcentral describes it as "RNase P RNA component class A". It matches the Rfam family "Bacterial RNase P class A". From Rfam's summary of the family: Ribonuclease P (RNase P) is a ubiquitous endoribonuclease, found in archaea, bacteria and eukarya as well as chloroplasts and mitochondria. Lineage: Bacteria; Pseudomonadati; Bacteroidota; Flavobacteriia; Flavobacteriales; Flavobacteriaceae. The record is from RNAcentral.
CCGAGCAGUCGGCUUGUCGCUCGAUUCUAGUACGAAUCGGGAGGAAAGUCCGGACACCAUAGUGCAGCACAACGGGUAACGCCCGUCGGUUCGUCUAGGCGAAUCAGGACCAGUGCAACAGAAAGAAUGUACAGUUCGGCUGUAGUGAAAUCAGGUAAACUCUGUGUGGUGAAAUGCUAUGUAUAUCGGCUGAAAAGGGCGGCACGUCCGACGCCGAGGGGUAAGCAGCUUAGAUUUCGUCGGUAACGACGAAACCAGAUAAAUGACAAGCUCAAACAGAAUCCGGCUUAUAGACUGCAUUUUUUU